This 448-nucleotide ribosomal RNA is filed under the name uncultured bacterium. RNAcentral describes it as "bacterial SSU rRNA". It matches the Rfam family "Bacterial small subunit ribosomal RNA", at positions 355 to 796 of the family's 1533-position model. The record is from RNAcentral.
UCGAGAAUUUUUCUCAAUGGGGGCAACCCUGAAGGAGCGACGCCGCGUGGAGGAUGAAGGCUUUCGGGUUGUAAACUCCUGUCAUUUGAGAACAAGUGGGACGCAGUAACUACGCGUCCCUUGAUAGUAUCAGAAGAGGAAGGGACGGCUAACUCUGUGCCAGCAGCCGCGGUAAUACAGAGGUCCCAAGCGUUGUUCGGAUUCAUUGGGCGUAAAGGGUGCGUAGGUGGCGCUGUAAGUGGGGUGUGAAAUCCCGGGGCUUAACCCCGGGACUGCAUUCCAUACUGCGGUGCUUGAGGACUGGAGAGGAGACUGGAAUUUACGGUGUAGCAGUGAAAUGCGUAGAGAUCGUAAGGAAGACCAGUGGCGAAGGCGGGUCUCUGGACAGUUCCUGACACUGAGGCACGAAGGCCAGGGGAGCAAACGGGAUUAGAUACCCCGGUAGUCC